GGAGGUCGACGACCGGCGCACGGGUGAGUAACGCGUAUGCAACCUACCUUUUACAGGAGGAUAGCCCAGAGAAAUUUGGAUUAAUACUCCAUAGUACUAAUGAAUCACCUGGUUUAUUAGUUAAAACUCCGGUGGUNAAAGAUGGGCAUGCGUGUCAUUAGCUAGUUGGUAAGGUAACGGCUUACCAAGGCGAAGAUGACUAGGGGUUCUGAGAGGAAGAUCCCCCACACUGGUACUGAGACACGGACCAGACUCCUACGGGAGGCAGCAGUGAGGAAUAUUGGUCAAUGGGUGAGAGCCUGAACCAGCCAUGCCGCGUGAAGGAAGACUGCCCUAUGGGUUGUAAACUUCUUUUCUGCAGGAAGAAAUCACUCUACGUGUAGGGUGUUGCCGGCACUGCAGGAAUAAGCAUCGGCUAACUCCGUGCCAGCAGCCGCGGUAAUACGGAGGAUGCAAAGCGUUAUCCGGAUUUAUUGGGUUUAAAGGGUGCGUAGGCGGGCUUGUAAGUCAGUGGUGAAAUGCUGUGGCUUAACCAUAGAAUUGCCAUUGAAACUGCAAGUCUUGAGUACAGUUGAGGUGGGCGGAAUGAGUAAUGUAGCGGUGAAAUGCAUAGAUAUUAAUCAGAACUCCGAUUGCGUAGG
Molecule: ribosomal RNA, 641 nt
Filed under: uncultured organism
Description: bacterial SSU rRNA
Rfam family: Bacterial small subunit ribosomal RNA
Source: RNAcentral